ACCAAGACUAGAGUCACAUUCUGACACAGCUAUUGUCCCGGUGUGCUAGAGUUCUCAGAGAGAAUCUCUUGGUCUUGAUUCACUGGUGGGGGUGGUCAGUGUUCCUGCUAGUGCCCAGAUCAGAAACAUGU
This 131-nucleotide small nucleolar RNA is filed under the name Tupaia belangeri chinensis (Chinese tree shrew). RNAcentral describes it as "Tupaia chinensis (Chinese tree shrew) Small nucleolar RNA SNORA3/SNORA45 family". It matches the Rfam family "Small nucleolar RNA SNORA3/SNORA45 family". Rfam says of the family: The members of this family belong to the H/ACA class of snoRNAs which are thought to guide the sites of modification of uridines to pseudouridines. This family includes mouse snoMBI-28 and human homologues ACA3 (SNORA3) and ACA3-2 (SNORA45). Lineage: Eukaryota; Metazoa; Chordata; Mammalia; Scandentia; Tupaiidae. The record is from Rfam by way of RNAcentral.